This is a long non-coding RNA of Cebus imitator (Panamanian white-faced capuchin), 1321 nucleotides long. RefSeq lists it as uncharacterized. Lineage: Eukaryota; Metazoa; Chordata; Mammalia; Primates; Cebidae. The transcript is spliced from 2 exons. The record is from RefSeq and is a predicted model, not a curated record.
CCCUCCACUCACUCCAUUUUCGGCCUCACCCCACCUGAACCGGGGUGAAUAAACAGCGAUGUGGCUCGCACAAAGCCCGUUUAGGGGACUCUUCACUCAGAGCAUGCGUUUUAACAAGAGCAAGUUUAACAAGUACCCUUUAUUUCCCAGGCCUGUUCUUUGUUCUGCCGAGUAACUGCGUUUUUGCAAAAGUUGUCAAAGUCCUGUGAGUUCCUGUUUUCCCAGGUCACAAGCCUUGACAAGCUGCAACAGCUGUCACUGCUUGAUAAACUGCUUUGUCCUGCCUCUGUGAGCUCACUUCCCUUCUUGCAAAUUUCGCGCCACUGGAUGGCCGACCCCCUACGGUCGCAUACAUAAAAGGUGGGCUCUGUCUUUGUUGGGCCUCAGCCUUGGGAUGCUAGUCCACUGAGCCGGCGGCCACCUUAAUAAAAUCCUCCUGUUCCAUUCAUUGGUGUCUCCUGUCCCUCAGUUUCCGCAACAUUUCUGGUGCAUUGGCUGGGAAAGGAGACGACAGGUUUAUUGUCUCCUUUGCCUCCGGGUUUGGGGCCCCGAGUCGGAGGAAUCCUGUGACCUCAGGGGUGCCAUCUCGCCAACUUGUACCCGAGGUGGGAGAGACUCUCCAGUGACCCGAUACCCCUCCCCGACAGCGCAACGGAACCGAAGGGGCUACAGGACAAUUCCGGGGACAGCCCGCUGCAGGACUGAGGUACAUCAGCUCAUUAAGGACACCCGUUCCACCCAAUUGGACCUUGUAGACCAGCCAACACACCCCCUUCCAGCCUGGAGACUCUGUUCUUGUUAAAAGAUUCGCCACCUCCGGCCUCACCCUCCAUUGGAAGGGACCCUGCACGGUUAUCCUGACCACGCCCACCACACUCAAGGUGGAUGGACUAACUGCCUGGAUUCAUCACACACGUCAAGGCUGCCCCACCAGAAGAACAAUGGAGCAUCAACCACUCAUCCCCCGAUUCACUAAAGCUAAGACUUGUGUGCUCUUCGCGGUUACCACCUUUGCCACCCUAAUCCAUGCUGUAAAUCCCUAUAGCAAACCCCACUUAGAACCCACCUACUAUCAAUGGGUCCUCACCGAGGGCUCUACUGGAGAAUAUGUUAGUUCCUUAACCGGGGAGGGAUCCACCCUAGUCAACUUAACCCUGGAGUACAUUCCAAACAACCCCAUUACCUUCUCCCUAGACCUCUGUGCCCUCCUGGGCCCAAACCUAAAUUUCAGAACAAGUGGAAGUAUAGCUGGGUGCGGCAGUUCAGGGGCAGAGCGACAACUCCAGACCAUGGGAUUAUAUCUGUGCCCAGGAUCCACCCC